CGCGGGGAGAACGAAGGGAGGGGCGCGCGGACGCGCGGUGAGGGGCAAGGAGGUGCGAGACCAGGCAGAAGUCUUAGAAGUCAUCUUGGAUAUUUCCCUCUUCCUUGUUCACUGUUUCCAGAAGUGAGCAGACAGACCUGGGUUCACUCCUCAACUCUGCCACAAGCCAGCUGUGGACUAACUUAAUGAAGAGCCAAAUUCAAGCUGCUAGAAAGCUGGUCCAAAUAUCAGACAGGUUACAGCACUAGGAGCGGUACUGUACAAUUGUAGGAGGCUCUGGAAAGACAUUACAAGAGAAAGGGGCUUCCCGUCCUGGUUCUGGUGUGCUGGCUCGACAAGCUUAGCAUGCAGCUCUCCAGGAGGCAGCAGCAGAUCUCCCUGGCAGCAGUUUCUUUCUGCACCCUCUUGGGCAGGUUCAGAGCAGAGUGCCACUAGUGAGAUACUUCACAGUGAAUGACUUUCCCUUGCACUCUGGAGAAAAGACUUUCGGCAAGUUCCAUUACCGUGGCACAAUAGAGACUUCUCUGCUGUGCAGUGAGCCAUGGCUGUGCACUGUAAAGGAGGCUGCUCAUCAUCAGGUGGACACUCCAUGGAUAUAAUUCAGUCUCUUACCCUAGUCACCCCAGUGCUUGCUCAGUGAGCCAUAAACAAAGUGGCCACAGUGGUAGGGAUGGAGGCUAUGCAUGGGGUUCAGAAACAUGGACUUCCCCUACUCAGUGUUGAUUUGUCUAACAUUACUGCUGAGUAGCGAAUCUGUCAACAGAAGAGGUCAACACUAGGCCCCUUAUAUGGCACCACUCUCCACGGGGACCAACCAGCCACCUGGUGGCAGAUUGAUUACACUGGACCUAUUUCUUCACAGAGGAGGCAGAGAUUCAUCCUCACUGGAAUAUGCAUGUUUUCUGAAUGUGGAGUUGCCUUCUCUCAACAUAAUACUUCAGCCAGCUGUACCAUCUGUGUACUUAUGGAAUGCUUUAUCCAUCAUCAUGGUAUUCUGCACGGCAUUACUUCUCAUCCAGGAGCCCAUUUCACAGCUAAGGAAAUACAGCAUGGGGCUUAUGCUAAUGGAAUCAACUGGCCUUAACCCUCAUAUUCCAUCACCUAGGAGCAGAUGGCUAAUUGAGAGUUGGAGUGGCUUAUUGAAGACUCAUUUGUGGUGCCAUUUGGGAGACAAUACCCCAAAACAAUGUGAUUCUGUCUCACAGGAUACAGUGUAAGCUUCGAAUCAGCAACUGUUACAGGGUGUUCUCGCUCCCAUAGCCAGAACACAUGGAUCUGAGCAUCAAGGGGUAGAAGUGAGAGUGGCCCUUCUCACUCUUAAACUCAGUAACCCAUUUGCAGGAUUAUUUUUCCUGCCCCAGAAACAUUGAGCAAUGCUGUUAUGAAAGUCAUAGUCUCCAAGGGAGGAAUGCUUCCAUUAGCAGACACAGUGGUUCAAUUGAAUUGGAAAGUGAGAAUGCCUCCUGGACAUUCUGGACUUCUUAUAUCAUUGAACCAACUGGCCAAAAAAAAAAAAAAAAGUCACUCUAGGUGAGGUGAACUCGAGUUGCUGCUAUAAAUGCAGACAAGAAGGACUAUGAAACCCAGGGAGUUACUUGGAGGUGCCUAGGAGUGAAGGUUUUGGUCACUCCAGGUGAAUUUCGGGCUGAGGAUGGGGGAAAUGUGGACUGGGGAGUGGAAGAAGGAAGAUGUAGAUACCAUUGACAGCCUCACAGCAAAUCGCAGAAACCAUGACAGCAGGAGCUUUGUGUAUUCUCUGUUAUACAUGCGUGUUUAUUUUAUAUGCUAAACAGUUUCUUCUAUCUCCUUCCCGUUGUUAUUUUAUGUACCUAGAGUUGAAAGUUAACUUCACAAUGUAUUCAUUAGGUAACAGAAUAUUUAGUGGGACUUGGCCUGAAUUUGAGGAGUAGUUAAGAUCACCAGUGAUGGAUACAAUGACUUUUGGCACUGUGUCUCUCCGUAUUUUGAGGAAAAGGAAAAUAGUUGUAUUUUGUUACAAGAAAAACUGGAGUUGUUUUAUUGAUGUACAGAAGUUCAAAAAUGUAUAGAAGAGUGCACAUGGAAGCUGAAUAGCCACAGAGCUACCCUCAUUUGUAUUGCUGUGCUUUUGCUUAAGCUAUUCUUGAGUUUUAAAUGGCUCUUCUUAUUCUCUCAAAUUUGAGGCCCAGCUUGUUUCACCAUGAAGUGAACCAAUUACUUUACCCUAUACUGAUUUCCUCCCCUCAUGUCCCUGAAGAACUUGACUACAUCACACAUUUAGCACCUAAGUAUACUCUGAAUGUAAUUUUUCUCUAAUUAUUUGAUGUGUUAUACUGCCUUUCCACCAGCCCCAGCCCACCAGAUCCGAAGCUCUUUAGGACUAUGUCUCUUUUUCUUUCUUUUCGUUAUCCAUCAAAAACACACAUAUGAAUACACACUCAAUGAAUACGUCUUAAUUUAAUAGCUGUCCUCACUCACUUGCUGCACUGGUUAAUCUGCUUCUUGCUCCAAAUUCACUUUUAGCUAAUACAGUGUUUCCCAACCUAAUUUGACUAGAGAGUACUUUUGACAUUAAUAUACAAUGUCUCAAAACCA
Molecule: non-coding RNA, 2574 nt
Organism: Leptonychotes weddellii (Weddell seal)
Lineage: Eukaryota; Metazoa; Chordata; Mammalia; Carnivora; Phocidae
Source: RefSeq, a predicted model, not a curated record